This 883-nucleotide long non-coding RNA is filed under the name Equus caballus (horse). Its description in RNAcentral is "lncRNA (ENSECAG00000033695.2)". Lineage: Eukaryota; Metazoa; Chordata; Mammalia; Perissodactyla; Equidae. The record is from RNAcentral.
AGAAGCUCAAAAUAAAAGGGGAACUUGUGCACUGCACAUGAUUAUUUACAAGGAGAGAAAGCUGCAUUAGCAUGAAAAAUAAGUCUUCUACUAGAUUAGAGAUUACAGAACCACAUGCUUAAGGAGCGAUAUUAUGGAGAUCUUGGAGAUGGUUUAAAGUGAUUUAUGCUUGGGAUUAAAAAAGUAUUCUGUAAGAGUAACCUGCAAAUCCCAGCAAGGGUGAUUUCAAAGCUCACUGAAAAGCAGGAUCUUUUCCUUUAAAAGGGAUUGUUUUUCUUCUAAUUGCAAAAGAAAACCCUGCUGGAGAAGUAAGAGUGCUGUUAUCCAGCAGUCCUGACUGUCAGAAGGCAGCUGCUGUUGCUAGGAGCAAGCGAAGGGUACAGACAAAAUUGAUUCGAGUUGGACUGUGAUGACAGCUAUGAAUGCAAGUCCUACUUCUGGAAGGGCACACUAGCUUUUAUGAGGAGGGAGCAUUCAAAGAUGAAGGAGACAUGCAACAACCUUCUUUAUUCUUUUGCACAAGUCUGCCUACACCCAAGGGGACAGGAUUAUACAAGGUGUGUACACCAAUGGAUGAGAAACUUGAGCAUCAUCUUAGAAGUUACCUACUGCAGAGGUGCCUGCGUCCUGAUGCUUCGCUUCCUUGGGAGUGGAGGGAGGAGCCAUCGCAGUCCUUUCCUGCAUAAUGAUUCCAUUUUGGACUAUCUUAAGCUCUCAAAGAAAUUCCACAAUACCGAACUCCGAAAGAGAAGGUGGUUAAGAUGCUAUGAUUCCUUUUUUUACAAGAAAUUCUUUUUAAGAUUUUUAAGCAAAGAUUCCCAUUGUUUCUCUAGUAGCAACCAGGAACAAAUAGUGAGCAAUAUUGGGAAGAGGAUGUCUGUGC